Long non-coding RNA from Dicentrarchus labrax (European seabass), 483 nucleotides. RefSeq lists it as uncharacterized. Lineage: Eukaryota; Metazoa; Chordata; Actinopteri; Moronidae. The record is from RefSeq and is a predicted model, not a curated record. The transcript is spliced from 2 exons.
UAUGGCUCCAUCUGGUGCACAACACCCCAAAAUACUUUUAAUGUUAUAUAUUGUAUAUUGCUCCAUUUGCAGCAGCCAGGUAUGGAAGCAAAGAAAGGCUGUAAGGAGCACCCGAGUACCUAUUCGUAAAAUAUAAUCACUGAUGAAAACUUUAUGUUGUGAUUUAAAUACAGCUGAAUUUACAGCAUUCACGAAUCUAUCCAAAUUUAUCUGCUUUGCCUUCCCCGCUUUCAGAAUUUCUCCCCAAACGUUUUUAGAAAAUCAAAUAAGUAAAAUAUGACAAACCUCUUUCUUCUUUCUCCUGUAAAUGUUUAAUCAGAGCUACCCUUAAAAAUCUAAUAAUCCAGUUUUAUUUGAAUUGUGUAAAUAUAAACAGAAAAAGGAGAAUCUGUUUCUGUGUUCUGUUUAUAAAACAAACAGUAAAAACCUAAACUGACCAUCCUCCUAAAUGUUACACACUGGACCUUUAAGUAUUCAGUUUCU